Molecule: ribosomal RNA, 420 nt
Filed under: Pediococcus pentosaceus
Lineage: Bacteria; Bacillati; Bacillota; Bacilli; Lactobacillales; Lactobacillaceae
Description: bacterial SSU rRNA
Rfam family: Bacterial small subunit ribosomal RNA
Source: RNAcentral
UGCCUAAUACAUGCAAGUCGAACGAACUUCCGUUAAUUGAUUAUGACGUACUUGUACUGAUUGAGAUUUUAACACGAAGUGAGUGGCGAACGGGUGAGUAACACGUGGGUAACCUGCCCAGAAGUAGGGGAUAACACCUGGAAACAGAUGCUAAUACCGUAUAACAGAGAAAACCGCAUGGUUUUCUUUUAAAAGAUGGCUCUGCUAUCACUUUUGGAUGGACCCGCGGCGUAUUAGCUAGUUGGUGAGGUAAAGGCUCACCAAGGCAGUGAUACGUAGCCGACCUGAGAGGGUAAUCGGCCACAUUGGGACUGAGACACGGCCCAGACUCCUACGGGAGGCAGCAGUAGGGAAUCUUCCACAAUGGACGCAAGUCUGAUGGAGCAACGCCGCGUGAGUGAAGAAGGGUUUCGGCUCGUA